GAUGAACGCUGGCGGCGUGCCUAAUACAUGCAAGUCGAGCGAACAGACGAGGAGCUUGCUCCUCUGACGUUAGCGGCGGACGGGUGAGUAACACGUGGAUAACCUACCUAUAAGACUGGGAUAACUUCGGGAAACCGGCGCUAAUACCGUAUAAUAUAUUGAACCGCAUGGUUCAAUAGUGAAAGACGGUUUUGCUGUCACUUAUAGAUGGAUCCGCGCCGCAUUAGCUAGUUGGUAAGGUAACGGCUUAGCAAGGCGACGAUGCGUAGCCGACGUGAGAGGGUGAUCGGCCACACUGGAGCGGAGACACGGUCCAGAGUCCUACGAGAGGCAGCAGUAGGGAAUCUUCCGCAAUGGGCGAAAGCCUGACGGAGCAACGCCGCGUGAGUGAUGAAGGUGUUCGGAUCGUAAAACUCUGUUAUUAGGGAAGAACAAAUGUGUAAGUAACUAUGCACGUCUUGACGGUACCUAAUCAGAAAGCCACGGCUAACUACGUG
Molecule: ribosomal RNA, 497 nt
Filed under: uncultured bacterium
Lineage: Bacteria
Description: partial 16S ribosomal RNA
Rfam family: Bacterial small subunit ribosomal RNA
Source: RNAcentral